RNAcentral lists this long non-coding RNA (231 nucleotides) under Elaeis guineensis (African oil palm). Its description in RNAcentral is "long non-coding RNA (EGUI_LNC057132)". Lineage: Eukaryota; Viridiplantae; Streptophyta; Magnoliopsida; Arecales; Arecaceae. The record is from RNAcentral.
CCAACCCCUCUGGUACAACCUCUUUUCUUUUGUCCACCCAUUCUUGUGGAUCCUACAAGAUAAGCAAGCAACAAUAAAAAUGUUAAUUUAAAAAUAUUUAGAUGAUAUUGAACACAAAUAGGCAUAUAAUGAUUCGUACAUGUAGAGCUAACAUCAGGAGUCAAGUCCAUGGUAGGAUGUGUAUGCUCAGUAGGUUCUGGCUCGAUAGGUGGUAUAUGGACUGGUGGUGAC